CGCCUGCGUGCUGAGCCGCCUCUUAAUAUUCUUAAUGAUGUUUGAACAAAGGGCUCAGCAUUUUCAUUCAGCAAUGGGCCUCACAAAUUAUACAGCUGGUUCUGCACCAGGGAGGCUCUUCCAGAUCUCCUCCAGAUGGUCUCGUCCACUCCCCGCCCACCCCCCGCCCUCAGGAUGACUCUUCUCAGGAUGGAACCUCUUGAGGAAGGGAUGCCACGUCAGGGCAGCAGAGUCUUAAGGUUGGACGGUGUCCACAUGAUGGCAUGGAGGUGGGUGGGCCUGAAGCCUGGUCUCUGUGGAGAAGCUGUUUUAGCGCUGCCUGCCUGGCAGUGCAGUGAGCUGUGCAUUGCCCCUCCCUGCAGGCUUCCCAUAGGCUGUAACUGUCACCCUCCAAAUUGGCCUCAGCACUGAGGAAGAGGAGAGUUAGUGGAAAGAGCUCAGACUUGGAGUUGGAAAACCUGUGUGUGAGCCUCAGUUUUCAUUCCUGUAGGAAAGGGUUGAUAAUUCCUUCUCUACCACAUUCUCAAACUAAGCAAACUAUGUGCAAAAGCCCUUAACCAGCCGGCUGUAAAACCCACAGGGACACUGGUUUGUGUGGAAGGAGGGGCAGAGGUGUGGGAUAGGAGGAAGGGCACUGAACCAGGAGUCAGGAGACCUGAGGCUUGGCCAUACACAGUGGAGGAGCCUCUAUUUCCUUGUCUGCUCAAAGACGAAUAAUACAUAUUGCCUUUUCUACUACUGGCUGCAUGAGAGGUUAUGAUACAGAUGAAUAUAGCCCCUGAAGAGGCUGCAAAGGAGGAGGCAGCUGUUUUGAAAAAAAAUUAAAAGAAUCCCAAAUAAGUUCAGGGUAAAAUAAAUACAACUUUGCAGAAGAGUUUAUAAUGAGAAGCAACCGUACCCAUCCCCAGACCGCAUUGCUAGGGCCAACCCUUGUCUCAAAGUUCCAAAUACUAGUUUUUCUGACAUUUACUUCAACAAACCCUCAGUAAUAUGUGUACACUGCUAUCUCUAGAUUUAAAAGGUUCAG
Molecule: long non-coding RNA, 1027 nt
Filed under: Homo sapiens (human)
Lineage: Eukaryota; Metazoa; Chordata; Mammalia; Primates; Hominidae
Description: HSALNT0189074
Source: RNAcentral